This 468-nucleotide ribosomal RNA is filed under the name uncultured bacterium. RNAcentral describes it as "partial 16S ribosomal RNA". It matches the Rfam family "Bacterial small subunit ribosomal RNA", at positions 28 to 507 of the family's 1533-position model. The record is from RNAcentral.
GACGAACGCUGGCGGCGUGCUUAACACAUGCAAGUCGAACGGAAAGGCCCUGCUUUUGUGGGGUGCUCGAGUGGCGAACGGGUGAGUAACACGUGAGUAACCUGCCCCUGACUUUGGGAUAACUUCAGGAAACUGGGGCUAAUACCGGAUAGGAGCUCCUGCUGCACGGUGGGGGUUGGAAAGUUUCGGCGGUUGGGGAUGGACUCGCGGCUUAUCAGCUUGUUGGUGGGGUAGUGGCUUACCAAGGCUUUGACGGGUAGCCGGCCUGAGAGGGUGAACGGCCACAUUGGGACUAAGGUACGGACCAGACUCCUACGGGAGGCAGCAGUGGGGAAUAUUGCACAAUGGGCGGAAGCCUGAUGCAGCAACGCCGCGUGCGGGAUGACGGCCUUCGGGUUGUAAACCGCUUUCGCCUGUGACGAAGCGUGAGUGACGGUAAUGGGUAAAGAAGCACCGGCUAACUACGUG